RNAcentral lists this small nucleolar RNA (141 nucleotides) under Drosophila ananassae. RNAcentral describes it as "snoRNA:GF26046". Lineage: Eukaryota; Metazoa; Arthropoda; Insecta; Diptera; Drosophilidae. The record is from RNAcentral.
UGGUCUACUCUAAUGCCUGGCAUUGUAAUACCGAAAAUGUCUGGCCUCGCUUGUAGACCAGAUCACGGAACUUGUUCUGCACUGGAAUUUAAAAAGGCAGUGGGCCUUCCGUCCGCUCGUUGCCUGUAAUUUAGUGAUACA